RNAcentral lists this ribosomal RNA (468 nucleotides) under uncultured bacterium. RNAcentral's name for it is "partial 16S ribosomal RNA". It matches the Rfam family "Bacterial small subunit ribosomal RNA", at positions 28 to 507 of the family's 1533-position model. The record is from RNAcentral.
GAUGAACGCUGGCGGCGUGCUUAACACAUGCAAGUCGAACGGUGAAGGCGGAGCUUGCUCUGCUGGAUCAGUGGCGAACGGGUGAGUAACACGUGAGCAAUCUGCCCCUGACUCUGGGAUAAGCGCUGGAAACGGCGUCUAAUACUGGAUACGAGCUGCGAAGGCAUCUUCAGCAGCUGGAAAGAAUUUCGGUCAGGGAUGAGCUCGCGGCCUAUCAGCUUGUUGGUGAGGUAAUGGCUCACCAAGGCGUCGACGGGUAGCCGGCCUGAGAGGGUGACCGGCCACACUGGGACUGAGACACGGCCCAGACUCCUACGGGAGGCAGCAGUGGGGAAUAUUGCACAAUGGGCGAAAGCCGGAUGCAGCAACGCCGCGUGAGGGACGACGGCCUUCGGGUUGUAAACCUCUUUUAGCAGGGAAGAAGCGAAAGUGACGGUACCUGCAGAAAAAGCGCCGGCUAACUACGUG